RNAcentral lists this transfer RNA (72 nucleotides) under Ratufa bicolor (black giant squirrel). Its description in RNAcentral is "tRNA-Val". It matches the Rfam family "tRNA". From Rfam's summary of the family: Transfer RNA (tRNA) molecules are approximately 80 nucleotides in length. Their secondary structure includes four short double-helical elements and three loops (D, anti-codon, and T loops). Lineage: Eukaryota; Metazoa; Chordata; Mammalia; Rodentia; Sciuridae. The record is from RNAcentral.
CCAAAAUGUAGCUUAACCUAUAAAGCAUUCGGCCUACACCCGAAAGAUUUCACACAAAUAUGAACAUUUUGA